UCCAAAAUUAGAGGCAAAUGUCAACGUGAUGUCAUAGGAGUCAUAAUCUGUUGUUGAUUUGUCUCAUUGCGCUUGCAAUAUAGCAUAGUCCUCUUAAUUGCCUAUAUCAUGAACAACUUCUUAAAACACAAUUUAUUUUCUCUCUGACACCACAGUGAAUCGCAGUGCUCCAUGACUUUCAAUUAUAAAUUUAUAAUUCCUAAAACCAACUCUUACUUCAAUUCAACUAACAAUUGAUAGUGGUGCAACAAUUAGACACAAGUAGAGAAAAAAAGAACAAUUAAAACUUUCUUUUUCCACAAUUACAAAGUCGUGGAGACACUUUUUGUUAGUCCAUCAAAUAAAAUAUAACACUCAAAUCUUCAAGUUCCAGUCGCUUCUACAAGUCAGAUAGGUUGAAAAAAAUUGAUUCCCACAGCAAUCUAGCGCAUCAACAGUCUACUGCAAUGGAGUUUCUAUCAUCCUCCUUUACAUUUACAGUACAAUCCACCA
RNAcentral lists this unclassified non-coding RNA (492 nucleotides) under Hevea brasiliensis (rubber tree). The record is from RNAcentral. Lineage: Eukaryota; Viridiplantae; Streptophyta; Magnoliopsida; Malpighiales; Euphorbiaceae.